GUAGCCGCUCGAAUGGAUUGGUCGGUCUGCUGCCCUUGGGAUAUACAAUUUGUUGCAUGCGAAGAUAUCGAUAGGUGAUACCCCAUAGAAGCAGUGAGGAGGAAAGAAGUUUGAACAGAGUGGCAAGGCCAAAAUUUAAGGGGAAAAGGUUAGCGAAGAGUGGCGCCACCUGGUCCUGGAGAGUGAGAGUUCCGCGCGCUCUCCGGAGCCGUUAUGAGAGAAGAUAUCCGAUUUUUUUUGUUCUGAAAGAAAAAGGGAUCCAGAUCAGUGAGAGACCAGGAACCAGGACUAGCGGGACGGGAAAGAGACCCAAGAAGCAUAAGAGGAAUAGGUCACAGCUCCGCCAUCCUGGCUUGCUUUUUGCUGGGCUCGAAUACACAAUCCUGGCCACAUAGUGCGGGUCCCUCGCCCAUUUAGGGAGAGAAAAAAAAUCAUCAAUCAACUUAUUUACUCCCAUUAUUUAUUUUUGUUAGACGUCUCCAUUUAUA
Drosophila miranda is the source of this 488-nucleotide long non-coding RNA. RefSeq lists it as uncharacterized. Lineage: Eukaryota; Metazoa; Arthropoda; Insecta; Diptera; Drosophilidae. The transcript has 3 exons. The record is from RefSeq and is a predicted model, not a curated record.